Long non-coding RNA from Rhinichthys klamathensis goyatoka, 916 nucleotides. RefSeq lists it as uncharacterized. The transcript has 4 exons. The record is from RefSeq and is a predicted model, not a curated record. Lineage: Eukaryota; Metazoa; Chordata; Actinopteri; Cypriniformes; Leuciscidae.
GAAUCCAUCCAAGAAACAGAAACAGAAAAAUUUGCUAAUGCCAGUAUUCUAUAUUUCUAUUAGUAUUUGCUAAAUAUCUGACUGAUAAUUAGGCCCAUUACAUGUAUACAUUUAUUUUCAUGCAGUCCAAAAACAACAUGAUUUUUAUUUAUAUAUUUUGGGCUAUUCAGAAUGUACAACACUUUUCGAAGUGGUGUUUGUCUGCAAUAUUCUGAUUUUGAUCUUCAGUGGAGUAGUGAACAUUAUUCUAUGCGAACGGCUGAGGAGAAGAAAAUGUGAACUGUGUGCUGCACAUCAGAGAAGCUUUCAUUCUCUGGCUGUCCCUCCUCAACCAAACUCGCCAGCGUCUGAUACCAGUAGUCAUCUUGAUCAAGAGAGUACGGAGCUUAACUACACAAUGCUACAGUUCCCCGAAGACAACACAAGAACAGAGAACUCAGAGAAUGAGCAGAGAGAGAAGAGCAGAAAGGACACAGUCUAUUCCAGCCUUAAAUGUCAAAUCUCAAACAUCACUGAGGAAAAUUAAUAUUUUCAGAGCUCCACAGCACAGAUUUCUGGCAGUUCCUCCUCCACAGACCAGGCUUUUUAUUGAAGAUCAUCACCACUGACCCAGAACCAAUGACCAGCCAUAAAGCGCAGGCCAGUCCACACAUAAGCUGUCUGAGAUGUUAUAGUGUUGUUAUUUAUCACCUCUGUUACAAUGAUCUUGGAGUUUAGUCUCACCACAUCAGUGUGUGUUGUCUGCAGUAGUCCAGGGCAGCUGCACAAUGUAAGCUGUAAUGUAAUGUAUGAAUGUAAAUGUAAUGGCAGCUGUCUGUAAGGGCAGGUGGGGCUCCAAAACAAAUACCUCUAUAUAAACUGUAUCAGUAAUAAAUUGUAAAUAUUUUCAGUAUUCUAUAAUAAAUAUUUCUGAAUU